RNAcentral lists this ribosomal RNA (305 nucleotides) under uncultured bacterium. Its description in RNAcentral is "bacterial SSU rRNA". It matches the Rfam family "Bacterial small subunit ribosomal RNA", at positions 335 to 637 of the family's 1533-position model. The record is from RNAcentral.
UCGCCCUACGGGAGGCAGCAGUGAGGAAUAUUGGUCAAUGGGCGGGAGCCUGAACCAGCCAAGCCGCGUGAGGGAAGAAGGUACAGCGUAUCGUAAACCUCUUUUGUCAGGGAACAAAGGCGGGGACUAGUCCCCGGAUGAGGGUACCUGAAGAAAAAGCAUCGGCUAACUCCGUGCCAGCAGCCGCGGUAAUACGGAGGAUGCGAGCGUUAUCCGGAUUUAUUGGGUUUAAAGGGUGCGUAGGCGGUCCGUUAAGUCAGCGGUAAAAUUGCGGGGCUCAACCCCGUCGAGCCGUUGAAACUGGC